This 448-nucleotide ribosomal RNA is filed under the name Psychrobacter celer. RNAcentral describes it as "bacterial SSU rRNA". It matches the Rfam family "Bacterial small subunit ribosomal RNA", at positions 365 to 798 of the family's 1533-position model. Lineage: Bacteria; Pseudomonadati; Pseudomonadota; Gammaproteobacteria; Moraxellales; Moraxellaceae. The record is from RNAcentral.
GGGAUGGAAGGGGGGAACCCUGGAUCCAGCCAUGCCGCGUGUGUGAAGAAGGCCUUUCUGGUUGUAAAGCACUUUCAGCAGGGAAGAACACCUGAGGGUUAAUACCCCUGAGGAAUGACAUUACCUGCAGAAUAAGCACCGGCUAACUCUGUGCCAGCAGCCGCGGUAAUACAGAGGGUGCAAGCGUUAAUCGGAAUUACUGGGCGUAAAGCGAGCGUAGGUGGCUUGAUAAGUCAGAUGUGAAAUCCCCGGGCUUAACCUGGGAACUGCAUCUGAAACUGUUAAACUAGAGUAGGUGAGAGGGAAGUGGAAUUCCGGGUGUAGCGGUGAAAUGCGUAAAGAUCUGAAGGAAUACCGAUGGCGAAGGCGGCUUCCUGGCCUCAUACUGACACUGAGGUUCGAAAGCGUGGGUAGCAAACAGGAAUAAAGAAUACCUUGGGUAGUCAAA